AUGCUUGCUUCAGCAGCACAUAUACUAAAAUCAGAACGAUACAGAGAUUAGCAUGGCCCUGAACAAGGAUGACACACAAAUUCGUGAAGCAUUUCAUAUUUUU
This 103-nucleotide small nuclear RNA is filed under the name Panthera tigris altaica (Amur tiger). The record is from RNAcentral. Lineage: Eukaryota; Metazoa; Chordata; Mammalia; Carnivora; Felidae.